This 492-nucleotide ribosomal RNA is filed under the name uncultured bacterium. RNAcentral's name for it is "partial 16S ribosomal RNA". It matches the Rfam family "Bacterial small subunit ribosomal RNA", at positions 29 to 507 of the family's 1533-position model. The record is from RNAcentral.
AGUGAACGCUGGCGGUAGGCCUAACACAUGCAAGUCGAACGGCAGCACAGUAAGAGCUUGCUCUUACGGGUGGCGAGUGGCGGACGGGUGCGGAAUACAUCGGAAUCUACUUUUUCGUGGGGGAUAACGUAGGGAAACUUACGCUAAUACCGCAUACGACCUACGGGUGAAAGCAGGGGAUCUUCGGACCUUGCGCGAUUGAAUGAGCCGAUGUCGGAUUAGCUAGUUGGCGGGGUAAAGGCCCACCAAGGCGACGAUCCGUAGCUGGUCUGAGAGGAUGAUCAGCCACACUGGAACUGAGACACGGUCCAGACUCCUACGGGAGGCAGCAGUGGGGAAUAUUGGACAAAGGGCGCAAGCCUGAUCCAGCCAUACCGCGUGGGUGAAGAAGGCCUUCGGGUUGUAAAGCCCUUUUGUUGGGAAAGAAAAGCAGCAGGUUAAUACCCCGCUGUUCUGACGGUACCCAAAGAAUAAGCACCGGCUAACUUCGUG